CACUCAAGUAAACAUCCAUAUUAAAAAGCUAUUAGAGGAAGCAGGGUUUUCAAAAUUUGAUCUGUAACAGAGUGGGAGAAAACAAAUGAAGGUUUCUUUCAUGUCACUGCCCGAGGAGAGUUUACUGUUGUCUAUAGAUUUUUGUUUUUCUACAAACAAAUUGUGGCAAACAAAGGGGAAGGAAAUCUUCUCCAGGUGGCGCUCUAGCAACAGACCAGCAUUUGGACAACGUGGUGAAGACGUCAUUUAUGAUUAGGUAGAAUGACCUUAUCAUCUUCCAACAAACUCAAGAAAUGCUUGCUUUGAUGAGAUGAAGUUGAAGAUUUCGAGAAAGAAUGAAAGCUGUAGCAGAAAACAUAGGGCUGGGAUCUCUCCAAGGUGAUUGUGGAGAGGUUUGCCAAUUGACCUUAGUGAAAUCAAAAAAGGGAAGU
Non-coding RNA from Prunus mume (Japanese apricot), 431 nucleotides. The record is from RefSeq and is a predicted model, not a curated record. NCBI's taxonomy places the organism in Eukaryota, Viridiplantae, Streptophyta, Magnoliopsida, Rosales, Rosaceae.